This is a long non-coding RNA of Rhinopithecus roxellana (golden snub-nosed monkey), 1368 nucleotides long. RefSeq lists it as uncharacterized. Lineage: Eukaryota; Metazoa; Chordata; Mammalia; Primates; Cercopithecidae. The transcript is spliced from 3 exons. The record is from RefSeq and is a predicted model, not a curated record.
CUGAUCAUCUGUCCUGUGACUGGCUCAGCCACCCGAUCGCGAAACUACGUUGGCGCAUGAGCGGCCUAGGGCUACGGGGAUUCCGCGCCUGCGCUGUAGGCGUAUCUUCGCUCUGUUGGCCGUGGCUUUAGUUAGCACACACCUGCCUGCUACUCUGGUUAUCGCGGCGACCGCAGGUCUGGAUUGCCAGACAGGUUUUUCUUUUUACCUCGAGGCUUUCUCUGAAGGGAGUGGGAGCAUUUAAAAGGCGGCCUCAAGGGGGAUUGAGUCGGGGGAGAAUUAGCAGUAUUUGCUUCGGUUGUAAAACCGCAACUUUAAUUAAAUAAAUCGCCAUUCAUGGUGCAAGUAUAAACUUGGAACAGAGAUAUAAAUGAGUUCCUCAAGGUCAGAGACUGUUUUUAUGCAUUUCUACAUCUCCAACACCUGGCAAAGUGCCUAGGCCAUAAAAGAUGAUCUGCCUCUGAAACCUUCCGUGGGCACAGAAAUUUCUGCAAGGAAAGCAUCAGCAGCCAGAAUAAUUUGGUGAGGAAGAUUUGGCACAGAAUACCCUGACUGAGGUAUUGCUCCCAAAGGAGCAAUUCUCUGGGGUUAGGAGUCAAUUAUUAGGUGCCUACAAAAUACCCUGUUAUUUUGACUAAACCUGCCUUGCUAUCAAGGAGAAAAAAGAACUGUGCGCUGAAAACCAGAACGGCCAAAAAAGAAUGCAGCUGUGGUCGUGGAAAAGGUCCUUGAAUAACAGGGAAAGGGAGACAGGGCAGUUUAAGGAAGGAUAGGAAAAGGCUACUUCCUAACAGGAAUUAAUAAACUAAUGUUUUUAUUAUUUAAUAAGAGAAACCCAUUCCCUUGUUUCAAAUAAGGCAAAGAUAAGUUAGGAUUGGAUGUAGCUAUAGAUCCCUAUUUCUGGCACAGGCUGAUAAAAAUAAAGGAGGUCAGAACACAACCCCACUCUCACCCACAUCCCACUUUGCAAAAACCAUGACCCAACUGCCUCUGUAGAUACUGAGCUGUGGACUGCAGGCAAAGCCUCAGGAGCCUUUGCUCUACUGAGUGAUCUACCUUUAGAUGACAGCAGCAGCUGUGGAGUAACAUCAGAAUGUUGAUUGACAAUGCAGUUUGUGGGAAUAAAGCAAGGAGGGAAACCCUUUAACCAGUUUCCAUUUCUUGGUGUCUUGAAGUUUUCAUCUUACUAAAGAAUCAAACCGUGGUAUAAUCCAGAGGAAGAGCAUACCUCAUCCUGGCAGCCCUGCUAUACCACAUCUGCUUAUCCAUAGUGAAAGAAACCAUAUUUUUAAGAAAAUAUGAAAUGCAGAGAUGAAAACUGUUUUAGAGCAAAUGAUUUUAAAUAAAAAGAAGGUUGCGUACUCAUUU